RNAcentral lists this small nuclear RNA (159 nucleotides) under Trichobilharzia regenti. Its description in RNAcentral is "U1 spliceosomal RNA". It matches the Rfam family "U1 spliceosomal RNA". From Rfam's summary of the family: U1 is a small nuclear RNA (snRNA) component of the spliceosome (involved in pre-mRNA splicing). Its 5' end forms complementary base pairs with the 5' splice junction, thus defining the 5' donor site of an intron. Lineage: Eukaryota; Metazoa; Platyhelminthes; Trematoda; Strigeidida; Schistosomatidae. The record is from Rfam by way of RNAcentral.
CCAGCUACCUGGUGCCGAGUUCAGGGUGAUCAAGAAUGAUCUGACCUCGGGUGGAGGCUCACCAUUGCACCUUGGUGGGUUGAAACUCGCAACGGACUCUAAUCGGGUGCGCUCGGGCGUGUAGUGUUUGUCAGCGGGGAGGCCUCACGGUCCUCCCCU